RNAcentral lists this ribosomal RNA (205 nucleotides) under uncultured bacterium. Its description in RNAcentral is "partial 16S ribosomal RNA". It matches the Rfam family "Bacterial small subunit ribosomal RNA", at positions 524 to 726 of the family's 1533-position model. The record is from RNAcentral.
UACGGAGGGUGCGAGCGUUGUCCGGAAUCAUUGGGCGUAAAGGGCGCGUAGGUGGCCCGGUCAGUUCGUGGUGAAAGCGCGGGGCUCAACCCUGCGUCGGCCAUGAAUACUGCCGCGGCUGGAGCACUGUAGAGGCAGGCGGAAUUCCGGGUGUAGCGGUGGAAUGCGUAGAGAUCCGGAAGAACACCGGUGGCGAAGGCGGGUC